UGAAUAAAAGAGACGUAAAAUUUAUUCCGAUGUAUAAGUGUAUUUAAAAUUGAACAACGUACUAAAAAUGGAUGAUCGAAUUUUUCAAUUUAAAAUCGAAGUUAUUGAUCUUUAUCUAGUAAAUAAAAUUUUCUACCAAAAAUUCAAUCGAUUUCGAUUUUCGUACACCGUUGAACUAGUAAGUAUAUCAAACCGGCCAUUAAAAAUUGUUAAUUUUGAAGUCUUUUAAUUGUAAGAUAAAUAAUAUCAAAAAAAUAUAAAAUUUGAUUUUUAGAAGUUUUAAAUGCUUUAGAUAAUGUUUAACGGUAUGGAGCGUCGAUUCGGAAGCUCUAUCAUAAAAAAUGACUUACAAAUGCGAAGGUGAUCGUACUCAUAAGAGUAUAGUAACUGGGCUCAAUAUCUCUCUCUCUCUCUCUCUCUCUCUCUCUCUCUCUCUCUCUCUCUCUCUCUCUAUAUAUAUAUAUAUAUAGAGUGAGGCUACUAUGCUAUCGGAAGUAUGGAGCCUUCCGUGCUUCUAGCUCGUUUUCGAUGUUGUGACUUUCGAAUCAUCGAUCGGCUCCGUUAAACUUGAUCUAGAUUAUUUGAAGUACCUAGAAAAUAAAUUUUAUGAUUUUACGAUAUCAUUUGCCUAGUGAACGAAGGGGCUCAAAAUCAACGGCUGAAAAUAAAAAUCUUACAAAAGUUAAUAAUAUGACAUUAAAAUUUUAAAUCAAAGAUAUUGAUCUUAUUUUAUAUAGUAUAAAGAAUUUUCUAUCAAAAUUUCACGUAAUUUGGAUAUUUCUACACCGUUAAACUUGCAAACGGCUCACUACGGCCAUUGAAAUUUGUUGAUUUUGAGCCCAUUCGAUUACUAGGCAAAUGAUAUCGAAAAAUAAUAAAAUUUAUUUUCUAGGUACUCCAAAUACUCUAGAUCAAGUUUAACGGAGCCGAUCGACGAUUCGAAAGUCGCAACAUCGAAAACGAGCUGGAAGCACAGAAGGCUCCGUGCUUCCAAUAGCAUAGUAGCCUCACUCUAUAUAUAUAUAUAUAGUUGAGCAGGAAUACUAUCGGUAGCAAACAGGCUCCGUUGCCACCCAUUUGUUUUCGAUGUUGGAGCCUUCAAAUCGAAGAUUGGCACUGUUAAACAUGAUCUAUACCACUUGAAGUAUGUAAAAACCAAAUUUCAAAUUUUUUCGACAUCAUUGACCUAAUGAUCAAAGGGUUUUAAAAUUUGUAAUUUUAAUGAUAGAUAUGAGGUAUUUUCUCGUUUAACGAUAUAAAGUUAUCCAAAUUAAUUGCAUUUUGGUUAGAAAAUUCUUUAAACUAUUUAAAACAAGAUUUAUAAUCUUGAUCGUGAUUAAAAAAUUUCUAUCAUCACUUUUUAGAAGAUAUUCAUUUUCAACCGUUCAUUUUUACGCCCACUUGAUGGACAAGAGAAUAAUAUCGAAAAACCAUGAAAUUUGAUUUCUAGAUACUUCAAGUGAUAUUGAUCAUGUUCAACGGUGCCGAUCGUUGAUUUGGAGGCCAAAAACAAAUGGGUGGCAACGGAGCCCGUUUGCUACUGAUAGUAUUCCAGCUCAACUAUAUAUAUAUAUAUAUAGAGUUGGACUGGGCUACUAUUAGUAGUAAAAUUUCAUUGUUGCUACAAGUUUUUUAGCCUUUGGAUCAAUUCUUUUCAUCAUUUCUAACCAUUGGAUUAAAUACUAUAACCCAGUGGGGACCACUCAACCCUAGGGGGACCACUCAACUCUAACUAACUAAUAUCAUCCCAACCCUACAAUUUUUCAUCCAAGGGUUAAAAACUUGACAGCAAAAAGAGGGUUUUACUAUUAAUAGUAUUCUAGUCUAAUUCUCUCUCUCUCUCUCUCUCUCUCUCUCUCUCUAUAUAUAUAUAUAUAUAU
Molecule: long non-coding RNA, 1880 nt
Filed under: Ananas comosus (pineapple)
Lineage: Eukaryota; Viridiplantae; Streptophyta; Magnoliopsida; Poales; Bromeliaceae
Description: long non-coding RNA (ACOM_LNC016188)
Source: RNAcentral